AAGGUAUGUCUUAUACUGCUGGAGCUGUAGAUAUAGGAGAAAAAUCCAAGCCGAGGAGGGACGGGGAGGAGAGAGGGGGGGCGCAAUUACUUUAGCGGUGCAGUGAAAAUGAUGAGCAGCAAAUGUUGCCUUUUUUCCCUCCUCCUUCUCGUCCCUCCACCCCCCACCCUCCACCCAAAAUGCAAGUCUUAGAGGAUUUCUGUGUCUCAAUGAAGUAAUAAUAAAGGCGGCUGACCACAGUCUGGGCUAGCGCCAACUGUGCGGGGGGGGGAGGGGGAGGAAUAUCCCUGCUCCCAGAGGCCUGAGGAGAAGAGGAAGAGUGGAGGAUUGUUGCAGCACAAGUUCUUGCUCUUGCUAAUACCAGGAGAUAUGAAACUGGUUAGUCCCCACAUGUUGCACAUAAAAAGAAUUCAUAAUGAGCAUCUGUGGGAUGUGGAAUGGAUCCCAUGAGUUAGCUGAAGACCUCAUAACGUGAAAAAAUAUCUCUUCGAUGGAAAUUCAUUUCCAUUUACUUAAAGUUAAACGGUUUGACUUUGAAUUUUCAUUAUCUGCUGUUGGAAGGAGCCUGUGACAGGUGAAGAAGAGUCUAUGGGUGGGAAUAAUGGAAAAUAUUUUGACUUUUGAGAGACUCUAAACUCUUCAAACCUAUUGUUAUAACAGAUGAUGCUUGACAUUGCAAAUCAUUCUGUCUUCCUUUUACUUGUAAGUCCUGUAAUCUGUAAUAAACUGUGUACAUGCA
This is a long non-coding RNA of Lepidothrix coronata (blue-crowned manakin), 739 nucleotides long. RefSeq lists it as uncharacterized. The record is from RefSeq and is a predicted model, not a curated record. NCBI's taxonomy places the organism in Eukaryota, Metazoa, Chordata, Aves, Passeriformes, Pipridae. The transcript has 4 exons.